GGCGGGAGAUGAGCGAGGGGGGCCGGGGAGGUAGGGGAAGCCUCCCCCUCAGCCCAGGAGGAGGCUGGGAGAGCCGGCUAGCGGGGGAGAGCUAGACUCCCGCGAGGGCAGGAGGAUCGGGAGACCGGGGGGAUAACGCCGUUGGGUGAUGGAGAAGCUAGAGGCCACCCCCCUCCCUCGCCUCAGCACCGCGGACCACCCCCGCUGCCAGCCGCUCGCCCUCCCAACGGCAGCGCGCGGGGCCAGGACACAGCAUCCCUGCGAGCAAGCGAGGAGCCGGGCGAGGAGAGAGGCGGUGGCUCGAUGCCCGCGAACGGCGGCAGCCGACAAGACGCAGCGGCAGUAACGGCAGCAGCGGCGGCGGCGGCGGCUCCGGGAAUCCUGCGCGGCGGCCCCGCCCCCUCCUCCGGCCAGAACCAGCGCGAAAAAUCCCCGCCGCUGAUUGGACGCCGCCGCCGCGCGGCCCUUGGAGCGGCUGUUUCAAAUCCCCCCGCACGGAACCGCCCGUCUACGCAGCCCCGCGGCCGGGAGCGGGGUCAGGCUCUGCCUCGGGCCGGGCCCUGCCUCGCUAGCCCCUGCGACAGGCGGUAACGGGACCUUGAUUGCAAACGGCGGGGGCCUGGAGGAUGGCGGGAGGGAAGCUGCCGCAGGGCGGGGUGUGGGGACUCCCCAGACGGGGCGGUGUCGUGUCUUGCCCACCUCAUGAGUCACGGCGCAAUAGACCCGAGGAGCUGCCCCUGUGAGACCCCCACACGCGUUCACCCCCUGCCAGCCAAAGGCGGAACAAUUCCCCUCAGCACCCCAUACGCCCCCCCCCUUCUGAACCCGUCCUGCGCCCUCCAACCGCGCGAAGGGCUGGCCCUGUCCAGGCCGGGCCUCUGCGCCGCGGCUGUGCUGAGUCCCAUACUGUUCCCUCUCCACUGCUGGGUGGAGAGAGUCUCGCCCUUUUACAUGUUCCUCUCCCUGCCCACGGCUCAGACUGCCAGGACAGAUGCUCUGGCUCCCACCCUAAUAUUUCCUCCUUUUCUGAAUCCUUUUGUAGAUCAGUAGGUGUAAACUCUCUGCUGCCUCUCACCCUGGGUUAUAAAGUCACUCCAUUUCAUACCUGAGGCCUUUCCUUUCCCAGGCAUUUAGACAUCCGUCUACAACGGUGGCGGAUUUGGGUGUAAGUAGACGGCAUAGUCUCCAUCAUCGUAAUCCAAACAACCUUAACUCUACCUUUUUGGCUUUGUCUAGACUAGGAUUUAAAGGUGGGAUGUUACGUGUUAGCUAGUCCCUCCCUGUGCUUUAACUUGAUCAAUUUAACAUCUUAAAGGCAGCAUGGAUUGGCCUGGAGUCUCCUGGAAUUGGCAUCAAUCUCCCAGUGACUAUUGACAGCAAUCAGGAGGAUGUCUUGGCAGCCAUUUUCAAGUGAAUCCACUAUAUUUGGGUGCUUCAAUAUUUGGGGGCCCAACUUGAGAUGCCUAUGGCCUGUUCUGCUGGGGUAUCAAGCCCCUACAGAACCAGUUGACUUUAAUGGGAACUGUGAUACCUAUCACAUAUGUCUCAAUGUAUCUUAAAUUAGGCACCCAAAGUGAAAAGACAGACAUUUUUGAGAAUGUAGGCCAUACUGUUGAAAGGUCACCUCUGCUGACUUCUUUUCUCUUGCUGUGAAUACUGAAUAAAGUAUUUCUUCCCUCCUCCCCAAUGUUACUAUCCCCAUCUUCACCCUAGAUAUGUUUUUAAAUCCUCUGAACUAUAUUGGUUUGUUUCAAUGACUGUAGGUAUGCCAUAGCCUGUUCUUUGCAAAUCACUGCAAGCAUAUUGCUAGCCAUCCUUGUCUGGUGAUUAGGAUCCUAGCACUCAGUCAGAGGUGGCUAAUAAUCUGCCUCCAGUGAGUUAGAGAGACAAGGUGGAGUCUUGUAGCUGUGUCAGUCCCAAGACAUUAGAGAGCGAUCCUGGGACCGACACAGCUACAACAAAACUGCAGUGAGUUAGCCAGUCAGGUUAUGCUACUGCUCGCUCUCUGUAAGAGGCUGUAGGAAUGACCCACAGGUACUUAUGAUAGUUGUGUUGGUAACUCCAAAUCUACAGGCAUUUGUUAUAAAUACAUCACUACAGAAACAUUGCCUCUCUGACCCCCAUUUACCCAGCAGCAGAAUUAAUUACUGUCAAAGUUAAGAAUAUACUCAAUAGAGAAAAAGAUUUAGGGCCACAAUGUGCCUAGACACUGGGUGCUUGCGGAUGAGAGUGCACAAGAAGACUCCACACCUUGCUCUUCCUCACACAGCCUCUGGGCACAAUUGCAGUUCCUCCUAUCACUCUCAUGGGCACUAGCCAUCCCAAAGGGGUAUGGUCAUGAUCCUCAGCUCUUCUGUAAUGGCCUGAGUAUCUGGCUAGACAUGUUGCAUUUGUUGAACUGGCUUGGUUAUCUGGAUUCUCUGCUGGAGCUACCCCUGUGGCUUCACACCACCUCCAGGGUGGGACAAUGGAAAGCCUUUUAUCAGUGUAAUUUGGAGUGAUCUCUCUAUUUUCUCUCUAUCCAUUUCUCUCACUUUUUCCCUGUUGGUUUCUCCUUUUGCUCUGUCUUGUCUCUUCAAUUCCCUUUCAUAUUGGCCUAACUGUGGAUAUGUCUACCCUACAAGCGCUACACGUGCAGUACUGUAAUGUAGACACUUUUACAGUGACAGAAGAGGUUUUUCCAUAACUAGUGAGAUGGAGUAGAUAGAUGGAAGAAUUCUUUGUUAAUGCUUUGGGUUUUGCCCCAGCAGAGUAUACAAAGAUUACAAAAUGGCAUUUCUCUGUUCUGCAUGUUGAAGGAAUGGGAGCUCUUCUUUUUUCUGGCCUAGGAUUGGAAAAGAAACUGGGGUAGAGCUAUAUCCUGGUUGAUGUAGAAGCAAGAUACAACUUCUGGGAGGAAACUGCAGCAGCAGCAUCAAAAAACUAUUCUCUUUGGGCAAAAAGAGUCUGAGGCAGGAGAGAACUGCCAGUUUGCUACACCUCACGCUGAGGUUAUAGAAUCAAGGGGAAAUAUUUUCUGUGUAAUAGAAUGAUUCCCAGAAGCUCAAAUGAAAUUCUGCAGUAUCUGAAGAAGAUCAGGUUAAAGUUGUAAGAGGAGAUCAGAUAUCUGAUCAGUAGCCCGAGCCUCACGUAACACACUGACCACAGGACUUAGAUAUUAGAGACUAGCUUCAAAUGAUAAUUAUGCUUCCUCUGAAUGCUGCUACUUGUAUUCAUUGGGCCUGUCCCAACUCCCAUUCUUUUUUUUAAAACUCGCCAAAACUCUUCUGCAGGAAUUCUAAGAUGGAAACAAUAAAAUUGCUUGCUCUUUUAGUGAAGUGAAGACAUCUAUGUAACUAUGACUGUAUAUAUUGUAAUAUAGAACAUACUUUAUAUAAAGUGCCACACUUUGGAAUUAUGUAAAGUUAAAAAACAAUAGAAAGCAAUUUCUGUUCUUAAUUUUUUUUUAAUAAGUUACCCACUUAAGAAAUCACAUUUAAACUUCCUGUAACUCUAACGGCCUGUUUCUCUUCCUCCUUUAAAAGGUAUCAGUAAAAUAUUCUUUCAAAAAAUCAUUCUGUUGAAAAUAUACCUAUUUACUGUAUGUAUUCUGUAUCAAGUAUUCUUUUACUGGUAUUUUACAGUUUUGUUCUGAGUUCUCACUGACUUUCUAUGAAUUUCCUCUUCAUUCCCUGGGGGUAAAUCCUUCGAUCUCUAGCUGCCUUUGGGAUAGCUCCAUUCAAUACCUAGGAGUUCCUUUUAAUAACUGACUCAAGCUCCUACCUAGUAAUCUGGGAAAACUAAACACCACGCCUGGACACCUCUAAGAGGCAAUACUUCCUGGUGCACAAGCACUGAGUCUGUAUUUAAAAAAAGAAAACUUUUAUUAAAAAGGAAAAGGAACCCUUAUUUGCAAAAGCACCACACCUCUUUCUUUCACUGGGAUGUGGCAUCUCUAACCCCCACUUAGCAAGUGAAAUUCUGUUUAGGUGACCCCUCAACUGGGACAUGCUAAGUACAG
Chrysemys picta bellii (western painted turtle) is the source of this 4000-nucleotide long non-coding RNA. RefSeq lists it as uncharacterized. The record is from RefSeq and is a predicted model, not a curated record. Lineage: Eukaryota; Metazoa; Chordata; Testudines; Emydidae.